GAGUGACCCACCGGUCCAAUCACAGGCUUCGUCAUUAGGACGUCCUCAAACGUCUGGCCACAUCCGGUCGUAUAUAUGUUGCCACGAGUUAGCGGCGAAUUUGGAGAGUGUCCAUUUUGAGCAGCGAGUCGGCGUCUCCGGUUUAUCCCCCUUUAAAUCUUCUCGAAGAGCCCACCGUCAGAAUGGCAGACGCCGAGACUCUCCUCAUGGAGACAUCAGACCAGAACGGCAACGAGGGAGACGAGGACCAGAACGGAGCCGAGCAGGAGCUGAUGAUCGGAGAGGAAUGCCAGGAUAGUCAGGACGGUCAAGACGAGCAGGACGACCAGGACGGGCAGGACAGCCAGGACAACGGCACGGAUGGAGGCAAAAUCGAUGCCAGCAAAGGAGAGGAGGACGCUGGUAAAAUGUUCGUGGGCGGCCUCAGCUGGGACACGAGUAAAAAAGACCUGAAGGAUUACUUCAGCAAGUUCGGCGAGGUGUCAGACUGCACCAUCAAGAUGGACUCCAACACCGGCCGGUCCCGAGGCUUCGGCUUCGUUCUCUUCAAAGAUUCCUCCAGCGUCGACAAGGUACUGGAGCAGAAGGAUCACAGACUGGACGGACGUCCAAUUGACCCCAAGAAGGCGAUGGCAAUGAAGAAGGAACCCGUCAAGAAGAUCUUUGUUGGGGGGUUGAUCCCCGAGGCAACAGAGGACACCAUCAGGGAAUAUUUUGGUGCUUUUGGAGAGAUUGAAACAAUUGAGCUUCCCAUUGACCCCAAGUCAAAGAAAAGGAGGGGCUUCAUCUUCAUCACAUACAAAGAUGAAGCCAGCGUCAAGAAGUGUCUGGAGAAGAAAUACCACAACAUCCAGGGCAGCAGGUGCGAGCUGAAGAUCGCCCAGCCCAAGGAGGUGUACCAACAGCAGCAGUAUGGAGCGGGACGUGGUGGCGGAUAUGGUGGCCGGGGAGGAGGCAGGGGUGGACGUGGAGGUCAGAACCAGGGCUGGAACCAGGGCUACGGAAACUACUGGAACCAGGGAUAUGGUAACCAAGGCUAUGGCUAUGGUGGAUACAGCGGCUAUGGUAACUACGACUACUCUUCUGGUUACUAUGGAUACGGUCCUGGAUAUGAUUACAACCAGGGCAAUGCCAGCUACGGGAAAACCCCAAGGCGGGGAGCACACCAGACCAGCUACAAGCCCUACUGAUGAUCACAUGGUAGUGUAAGCACAGACUGCGGGCCAGACGUAGAAGCUGGGUCCACGAAAUAAACCAAGCCAGAACACAACUGGGAGAGUAUCAUAGGACGCCAGUGAGGCCUGGACGGACACACUGGGCAUGACUCGACCUCUUUUAUGACAGAAGACCAUUUGUACAGAAAACACCCGAAAUGUAACUUUUCCAUUUUUUUUUUUUUUAAAUCCUAUCAUUUUUAGGUUUUACGUUUCCCUUUGUUGUUGUUUUUUUUUUUUUCUUCCCCUCCACAUUUCCUGUCAAUGGAAGUGUAAUUUUUACUGUACUUUUUGGUACCUGUUUUGAUUCUAAUGUAUUGUAAGGCGUGUAUUUUACAUGUUUGCUGGCUUUACAGGUUGAAAAUCAUGGCGCUGUAAAGGAGCUUUUUUGACAAAUAAAAACCAUUUUCAGUAA
Molecule: RNA transcript, 1629 nt
Organism: Larimichthys crocea (large yellow croaker)
Lineage: Eukaryota; Metazoa; Chordata; Actinopteri; Sciaenidae
Gene name: heterogeneous nuclear ribonucleoprotein A/B
Exons: 10
Source: RefSeq, a predicted model, not a curated record